This 252-nucleotide ribosomal RNA is filed under the name uncultured bacterium. RNAcentral's name for it is "partial 16S ribosomal RNA". It matches the Rfam family "Bacterial small subunit ribosomal RNA", at positions 524 to 775 of the family's 1533-position model. The record is from RNAcentral.
UACGGAAGGGGGCUAGCGUUGUUCGGAAUCACUGGGCGUAAAGGGCGCGUAGGCGGCCUGGCAAGUCGGGGGUGAAAGCCUGUGGCUCAACCACAGAAUGGCCUUCGAUACUGCCGGGCUUGAGACCGGAAGAGGUCAGUGGAACUGCGAGUGUAGAGGUGAAAUUCGUAGAUAUUCGCAAGAACACCGGUGGCGAAGGCGGCCAACUGGACCAUACUGACGCUGAGGCGCGAAAGCGUGGGGAGCAAACAG